GUAGGGAAUAUUGCGCAAUGGACGAAAGUCUGACGCAGCGACGCCGCGUGAGUGAUGAAGGCCUUAGGGUCGUAAAGCUCUGUUGAAUGGGAAGAAAAAAAUGACGGUACCAUUCGAGGAAGGACCGGCUAACUUCGUGCCAGCAGCCGCGGUAAUACGAGGGGUCCUAGCGUUGUUCGGAAUCAUUGGGCGUAAAGGGUGUGUAGGUGGCCAUGUAAGUCAGGUGUGAAAGCCCCGGGCUCAACCCGGGAAGUGCACUUGAUACUGCGUGGCUUGAGUACCGAAGAGGAUAGUGGAAUUCCAGGUGUAGUGGUGAAAUACGUAGAUAUCUGGAGGAACACCGGUGGCGAAGGCGGCUACCUGGUCGAGUACUGACACUGAGACACGAAAGCAUGGGGAUCAAACAGGAUUAGAAACCCCGGUAGUCC
This 428-nucleotide ribosomal RNA is filed under the name uncultured bacterium. RNAcentral describes it as "partial 16S ribosomal RNA". It matches the Rfam family "Bacterial small subunit ribosomal RNA", at positions 354 to 796 of the family's 1533-position model. The record is from RNAcentral.